Long non-coding RNA from Papaver somniferum (opium poppy), 1190 nucleotides. RefSeq lists it as uncharacterized. Lineage: Eukaryota; Viridiplantae; Streptophyta; Magnoliopsida; Ranunculales; Papaveraceae. The transcript is spliced from 5 exons. The record is from RefSeq and is a predicted model, not a curated record.
CCGUGAAGUGUGGGUUCUAGUGGCCUCACAUUCUAUGUUUGGGAUUCAGCCACUAGUUUGGCUUGUGGUCUUAAUUGUGGUACCAGUUGGAGUCAAACAGAAUAUGAAUGAAUUAUAAUGUGGAUGCGUACUAAAUCAAAUAGCAAUUAGAAGGGAGCAAAAAUCCUAGAUCAUGAAGCAGGUACUUUAAGCUGGAAUAAAACAUAAGGAUUGCAUAACGAGGUCGAGGUGCCCAUUAGAUCACAUUAUCUCUCAUUUGCUGCUAUCAUCCAAUUUAGGUUAUUGGAGACUAUUGUGCUUGGCGACUUGUCUUCAAUUUCAUCUAUAGUACUUGGCGACUAGAGGUGCUGUGCUCCUUGUACCAGUCAUUCUCAUUGUAUAGAAGGAAAGCGAGAAAUCCCCGUGAACCAUUUGUAGUACCCAAAGCAAUGUUUCCAGCUUGACAGUGGAAUUUUUCAUUCUUGGAACUCAUCUCUGUUGCUGUUUUCAGCAGGCUUACCGAGCUAGCGGACGUUGUUUACGAAAGAUAAUCUGUAGUUAACUUACCGAUCCAGAGAGCGUUGCUUGCAGUUGCACAUUGUAGAAACCGAAAAAGGAACAAAAGAAAGUCAGCUUAGCAGCAAUAAAGGCGCAUAGGAACUCGCUCAUGGGAACCCUGAGGAAAUUGGUCGCGAGAAAUGUGACCCUCAGGACCAUGCAAUUAUGGGGUAUCGAGUUAUAUAUCUUCACAGUCCCUUGACCCGUUGCUACGGUAAUUGAAGGCUGCGAUGGAUGAUAAUAGAAUAUAGCUUGAUUAGUGCUUAAAUAAAAAAAUCUGGACUUAUGAGUUUAACUAGUAUAGGCGAGAAGAAUAUACCCCAGCUUUGUAGCCUUUUCUGAGGAAGCAUGGUCGUCCUGUUGUGGCUGGCUUAGCUGGAGAUGGACGGGUACAUUCAGGUCAUCUUCAAUGCUAAAAACAUUUGGAAGAAGUGAUGUUCGAUUGGCUCCACUGGUAUUUCCAUAAACCUGAGACUUUAAACAUUACUUUUUAAGUUGUACUGUAUGCAACUAUGCAAAUCAUACAUUUGGCGUAAUGGUGGAAGUAAUGAACGGCCGAAUGUUUAGGUAUAUUAGGUCUAUUGAGGCUAUAUGGAGUUCAUUAGUAGGCUAAAUCAUUACCUUUUUGUGCAAAUCCAUGUUUCCUUGAUGAA